This 371-nucleotide ribosomal RNA is filed under the name uncultured bacterium. RNAcentral's name for it is "bacterial SSU rRNA". It matches the Rfam family "Bacterial small subunit ribosomal RNA", at positions 527 to 896 of the family's 1533-position model. The record is from RNAcentral.
AGAGGGGGCAAGCGUUGUUCGGAAUUACUGGGCGUAAAGGGCGCGUAGGCGGCCUUCUAAGUCGAACGUGAAAUCCCUGGGCUCAACCCAGGAACUGCGUCCGAUACUGGGAGGCUUGAAUCCGGGAGAGGGAUGCGGAAUUCCAGGUGUAGCGGUGAAAUGCGUAGAUAUCUGGAGGAACACCGGUGGCGAAGGCGGCAUCCUGGACCGGCAUUGACGCUGAGGCGCGAAAGCCAGGGGAGCAAACGGGAUUAGAUACCCCGGUAGUCCUGGCCCUAAACGAUGAAUGCUUGGUGUGGCGGGUAUCGAUCCCUGCCGUGCCGAAGCUAACGCAUUAAGCAUUCCGCCUGGGGAGUACGGUCGCAAGGCUG